This 1056-nucleotide long non-coding RNA is filed under the name Gadus morhua (Atlantic cod). RNAcentral describes it as "lncRNA (ENSGMOG00000029312.1)". Lineage: Eukaryota; Metazoa; Chordata; Actinopteri; Gadiformes; Gadidae. The record is from RNAcentral.
UAUCAGUCCUGGUUCUUGUCCGGGUCAGGGUUAGUCCUGCUUGUGCUGGAGGUUGGUGAGCACCACGACCCAGGGGCCUCCCGGGGGGCGGUCCUUGGGCUGGGGGAGGGUGUAGGCCCUCCCCCAGCCCAGGGAGGUGUUGGUCGGCCCGGAGCUGGGCUCCCCCGGGGCGCGCCGGCAGCUCAGCAGCGCCACCAGCUCCCGGCGGAAGCGGCGGCUGACCAUGCAGUAGAGCAGGAAGUUGGUGGUGGAGUUGAGGUUGUGCAGCAUGUUGGCCAGGUCGCCCGCCACGUUGAUGGGCAGGCCGUAGUCGUUGCGGUCGAAGGCGGGGCUGUUGUACACGGUGCGCAGGAUGCAGUAGGUGACGAAGCGCGGCAGGCUCAGCGCCACGAAGGCCACCGACACCGUGCCGAGCAGCAGGAUGGAGCGGCGGACCAGGCUGCGCGUGGUCCGGCCGCUCAUCACCCGCUGCUCCUCGCGGCUGAAGAGCCGGCCGGCGCGGCUCAGGUGGUACCCGAUCAGGUAGUUGAAGAUGAUGAGGAGGACGACGGGGACGCCCACGGAGAGGAUGCUGGUGACCCACACCAGCGCCGUGGAGUACGCCUCGUCGCGGUAGCGGCACCGCGGCAGCGUGACGUUGGCCCCGUCCACCGUGAAGUUGACGGGCGUCGGGGCGUUGAUCCAGGCCAUGGGCACGGACGCCAGGUGGGACAGCAUCACCACGGCAACGCAGGUGAUCCUGGGGACGCGGGGGCGGGACAGGUGGCGCACGGCGGCGGUGCUGCUGAGCACCACGUAGCGCUCGACGGUGAACACCACCACCACCCAGGAGGAGCUGUAGAGGGCGCCGUGCUGCAGGAAGGUCAGCACCUCGCACCAGGGCGAGGAGUGCCAGAAGGGCUGCAGCAGCCAGAAGUGGAGGGUGAGGUCCAGCAGGAUGACCCACACCAGGUAGAGGGAGUCCACCACCGCCAGGCAGCUCAGGUACACCACGGCCGAGUCCGACAUGCCACACCUCCGCACCAAGAUCAGGUAGAAGGUGACCAGGUUGGCUAG